UCCCUGGUGGCUUAGAUGGUAAAGAAUCUGCCUGCAAUGCAUGAGACCUGGGUUCAAUCCCUGGGUGGGGAA
RNAcentral lists this transfer RNA (72 nucleotides) under Ovis aries (sheep). It matches the Rfam family "tRNA". From Rfam's summary of the family: Transfer RNA (tRNA) molecules are approximately 80 nucleotides in length. The record is from Rfam by way of RNAcentral. Lineage: Eukaryota; Metazoa; Chordata; Mammalia; Artiodactyla; Bovidae. RNAcentral also lists the same sequence under 3 other names.